UGAGGAACUUGUCCCGGUCUCUGGGAUAACAGUUGGAAACGACUGCUAAUACCGGAUGACGUCGGAACUUCGCAUGGAGUACUGACGAAAGGGUUACUGGAUCGGGAGAGCCUCGCGGCCUAUCAGCUUGUUGGUGGGGUAAUGGCCCACCAAGGCGACGACGGGUAGCCGGCCUGAGAGGGUGACCGGCCACACUGGGACUGAGACACGGCCCAGACUCCUACGGGAGGCAGCAG
This 236-nucleotide ribosomal RNA is filed under the name uncultured bacterium. Its description in RNAcentral is "partial 16S ribosomal RNA". It matches the Rfam family "Bacterial small subunit ribosomal RNA", at positions 118 to 354 of the family's 1533-position model. The record is from RNAcentral.